GUAUUUGUUUGAAUAAACUUUGACUCUCGAUUUGUAAUCAAUAGGUCCGCGGUUCGAAUCCGUGCGGGGGCACCA
This 75-nucleotide transfer RNA is filed under the name Candidatus Pelagibacter sp. RNAcentral describes it as "tRNA-OTHER". Lineage: Bacteria; Pseudomonadati; Pseudomonadota; Alphaproteobacteria; Candidatus Pelagibacterales; Candidatus Pelagibacteraceae. The record is from RNAcentral.